RNAcentral lists this ribosomal RNA (383 nucleotides) under uncultured eukaryote. RNAcentral's name for it is "partial 18S ribosomal RNA". It matches the Rfam family "Eukaryotic small subunit ribosomal RNA", at positions 592 to 976 of the family's 1831-position model. The record is from RNAcentral.
CAAUAGCGUAUAUUAAAGUUGUUGCAGUUAAAAAGCUCGUAGUUGGAUUUCUGGUGGGAGCGAUCGGUCUGGCGCUUAGCGCGAGUACUUGCAUCGUCUCCGGCCAUCCUUGGGGAGAGUCUGUCUGGCAUUAAGUUGUCGGGCAAAGGAUCCUCAUCGUUUACUGUGAAAAAAUUAGAGUGUUCAAAGCAGGCUUAUGCCGUUGAAUAUAUUAGCAUGGAAUAAUAAGAUAGGACUUUGGUACUAUUUUGUUGGUUUGCGCACCAAAGUAAUGAUUAAUAGGGACAGUUGGGGGUAUUCGUAUUCCGUUGUCAGAGGUGAAAUUCUUGGAUUUACGGAAGACGAACUACUGCGAAAGCAUUUACCAAGGAUGUUUUCAUUAA